Molecule: ribosomal RNA, 1480 nt
Filed under: uncultured Bordetella sp.
Lineage: Bacteria; Pseudomonadati; Pseudomonadota; Betaproteobacteria; Burkholderiales; Alcaligenaceae
Description: partial 16S-23S ribosomal RNA intergenic spacer
Rfam family: Bacterial small subunit ribosomal RNA
Source: RNAcentral
AGUAUCCGAUUGUUACCUGUGAUUGAACGCUGGCGGGAUGCUUUACAUGAUGCAAGUCGAACGCAGCACGGACUUCGGUCUGGUGGCGAGUGGCGAACGGGUGAGUAGUCGUAUCGGAACGCCUAGUAGCGGGGAUAACUACGCGAAAGCGUAGCCACACGCGACACCCUUCGGGCAGCGCGGGGACCUUCGGGCCUCACUAGAGUGCCGGAUAUCGGAUUAGUCAGUUUGCGGGGUAACGGCUCACCAAGGCGACGAUCCGUAGUUGGUUUGAGAGGACGACCAGCCACACUGGGACUGAGACACGGCCCAGACUCCUACGGGAGGCAGCAGUGGGGAAUUUUGGACAAUGGGGAAACCCUGAUCCAACCAUCCCGCGUGUGCGAUGAAGGCCUUCGGGUUGUAAAGCACUUUUGGCAGGAAGAAACGGCACGGAUAAUACCCCGUGCAACUGACGGUACCUGCAGAAUGCCACCAACAACCACAUGCCAGCAGCCGCGGUAAUACGUAGGGUGCAAGCGUUAAUCGGAAAUCGACCGGGCGUAAAGCGUGCGCAGGCGGUUCGGAAAGAAAGAGCAAGAAAUCCCAGAGCUUAACUUUGGAACUGCAUUUUUGAACUAUCAGCCAUACCGGAGGAGUGACUCUGCGUAGUGGGAAACGUAUGCGCUGAGAGGAACACUGAUGGCGAAGGCAGCCUCCCUGGGAUAACACUGACGCUCAUGCACGAAAGCGUGGGGAGUAAACAGGAUUAGAUAACCUGUAGUCCACGCCCCAAACGAUGCCAAUCAUUGCUGGGGCCUUCUUGGCUCGGUAGCGCAGCUAACGCGUGAAGUUGACCGCCUGGGGAGUACGGGUUUGAUUAAACCUCCGUGCUGGAAUUGACGGGACCCGCACAAGCGGUGGAUGAGCGUGGAUUAAUCUGAUGCAACGCGAAAAACCUUACCUACCCUUGACAUGUCUGGAAUCCCGAAGAGAUUUUGGGAGUGCUCGCAAGAGAACCGGAACAUAAAACACGGUUGUCGUCAGCUCGCGUCGUGAGAUGUUGGGGUUAUGUCCGCAACGAGCGCAACCCUGUCAUUAGUUGCUGGGCUGAAAGGGCACCUAAUGAGACUGCCGGUGAUAAACUGGAGGAUGCGAUGACGUCAAGUCCUCAUGGACCUUAUGGCAGGCUUCACACGUCAUACACGUCGGGCGAGAGGUCGCCAACCCGCGAGGGGAGCCAAUCCCAGAAACCCGAUCGUAAACCGAUCGCAGUCUGCAACUCGACCGGCGUACAAGCUGAACUUUUUCAGUAAUCACGGAUCAGCAUGUCGCGGUGAAUACGUUCCCGGGUUCAGUACACACCGCCCGUCACACCAUGGGGAGCGGGUUUUACCAGAAGUAGUUAGCCUAACCGUAAGGAGGGCGAUUACCACGGUAGGAUUCAUGAUUGGGGUAAAGUCGUGUACUACGGUAGCCCCCAGCCAUACCCGACGUCUCC